RNAcentral lists this ribosomal RNA (497 nucleotides) under uncultured bacterium. RNAcentral's name for it is "partial 16S ribosomal RNA". It matches the Rfam family "Bacterial small subunit ribosomal RNA", at positions 28 to 507 of the family's 1533-position model. The record is from RNAcentral.
GAUGAACGCUGGCGGCGUGCCUAAUACAUGCAAGUCGAGCUAACGGACGAGAAGCUUGCUUCUCUGAUGUUAGCGGCGGACGGGUGAGUAACACGUGGAUAACCUACCUAUAAGACUGGGAUAACUUCGGGAAACCGGAGCUAAUACCGGAUGAUAUUUUGAACCUCAUGGUUCAAAAGUGAAAGACGUUCUUGCUGUCACUUAUAGAUGGAUCCGCGCUGCAUUAGCUAGUUGGUAAGGUAACGGCUUACCAAGGCAACGAUGCAUAGCCGACCUGAGAGGGUGAGCGGACACACUGGAACUGAGACACGGUCCAGACUCCUACGGGAGGCAGCAGUAGGGAAUCUUCCGCAAUGGGAGAAAGCCUGACGGAGCAACGCCGCGUGAGUGAUGAAGGUAUUCGGAUCGUAAAACUCUGUUAUUAGGGAAGAACAUAUGUGUAAGUAACUGUGCACAUCUUGAAGGUACAUAAUCAGAAAGCCACGGCUAACUACGGG